CCUACGGGUGGCUGCAGUCGAGAAUCUUCGGCAAUGGACGAAAGUCUGACCGAGCGACGCCGCGUGCGGGACGAAGGCCCUUGGGUUGUAAACCGCUGUCGUAGAGGAGCAAGUGUAUAGGGGUUCUCCCCUAUGCUUGAGCGAUUCUAGGAGGAAGGGGAGGCUAAGCUCGUGCCAGCAGCCGCGGUAAGACGAGCUCCCCGAACGUUAUUCGGUAUCACUGGGCUUAAAGAGUUCGUAGGCGGCUCGACAGGUGAGGUGUGAAAGCCCACGGC
Molecule: ribosomal RNA, 275 nt
Filed under: uncultured bacterium
Lineage: Bacteria
Description: partial 16S ribosomal RNA
Rfam family: Bacterial small subunit ribosomal RNA
Source: RNAcentral